CCAGACUCCUACGGGAGGCAGCAGUGGGGAAUAUUGCACAAUGGGGGAAACCCUGAUGCAGCGACGCCGCGUGAGCGAUGAAGUAUUUCGGUAUGUAAAGCUCCAUCAGCAGGGAAGAAAAUGACGGUACCUGACUAAGAAGCCCCGGCUAACUACGUGCCAGCAGCCGCGGUAAUACGUAGGGGGCAAGAGUUAUCCGGAUUUACUGGGUGUAAAGGGAGCGUAGACGGCGGUGCAAGCCAGAUGUGAAAGCCCGGGGCUCAACCCCGGGACUGCAUUUGGAACUGUGCUGCUAGAGUGUCGGAGAGGCAGGCGGAAUUCCUAGUGUAGCGGUGAAAUGCGUAGAUACUAGGAGGAACACCAGUGGCGAGGGCGGCCUGCUGGUCGAUGACUGACGUUGAGGCUCGAAAGCGUGGAGAGCAAACAGGAUUAGAGACCCCGGUAU
Molecule: ribosomal RNA, 445 nt
Filed under: uncultured bacterium
Lineage: Bacteria
Description: bacterial SSU rRNA
Rfam family: Bacterial small subunit ribosomal RNA
Source: RNAcentral